Molecule: ribosomal RNA, 361 nt
Filed under: uncultured fungus
Lineage: Eukaryota; Fungi
Description: eukaryotic LSU rRNA
Rfam family: Eukaryotic large subunit ribosomal RNA
Source: RNAcentral
AUAUCAAUAAGCGGAGGAAAAGAAACCAACAGGGAUUGCCCUAGUAACGGCGAGUGAAGCGGCAACAGCUCAAAUUUGAAAUCUGGCUCUUUCAGGGUCCGAGUUGUAAUUUGUAGAGGGUGCUUUGGUGUUGACUACGGCCUAAGUUCCUUGGAACAGGACGUCACAGAGGGUGAGAAUCCCGUACGUGGCUGCUAGCCUUCACCGUGUAAAGCCCCUUCGACGAGUCGAGUUGUUUGGGAAUGCAGCUCUAAAUGGGAGGUAAAUUUCUUCUAAAGCUAAAUACUGGCCAGAGACCGAUAGCGCACAAGUAGAGUGAUCGAAAGAUGAAAAGCACUUUGGGAAGAGAGUCAAAAAGCAC